UUUACAUUUGAGUGAGUGGCGAACUGGUGAGUAACACGUGGGAAACCUGCCCAGAAGCGGGGGAUAACACCUGGAAACAGAUGCUAAUACCGCAUAACAACUUGGACCGCAGGUCCGAGCUUGAAAGAUGGCUUCGGCUAUCACUUUUGGAUGGUCCCGCGGCGUAUUAGCUAGAUGGUGGGGUAACGGCUCACCAUGGCAAUGAUACGUAGCCGACCUGAGAGGGUAAUCGGCCACAUUGGGACUGAGACACGGCCCAAACUCCUACGGGAGGCAGCAGUAGGGAAUCUUCCACAAUGGACGAAAGUCUGAUGGAGCAACGCCGCGUGAGUGAAGAAGGGUUUCGGCUCGUAAAACUCUGUUGUUAAAGAAGAACAUAUCUGAGAGUAACUGUUCAGGUAUUGACGGUAUUUAACCAGAAAGCCACGGCUAACUACGUGCCAGCAGCCGCGGUAAUACGUAGGUGGCAAGCGUUGUCCGGAUUUAUUGGGCGUAAAGCGAGCGCAGGCGGUUUUUUAAGUCUGAUGUGAAAGCCUUCGGCUCAACCGAAGAAGUGCAUCGGAAACUGGGAAACUUGAGUGCAGAAGAGGACAGUGGAACUCCAUGUGUAGCGGUGAAAUGCGUAGAUAUAUGGAAGAACACCAGUGGCGAAGGCGGCUGUCUGGUCUGUAACUGACGCUGAGGCUCGAAAGUAUGGGUAGCAAACAGGAUUAGAUACCCUGGUAGUCCAUACCGUAAACGAUGAAUGCUAAGUGUUGGAGGGUUUCCGCCCUUCAGUGCUGCAGCUAACGCAUUAAGCAUUCCGCCUGGGGAGUACGGCCGCAAGGCUGAAACUCAAAGGAAUUGACGGGGGCCCGCACAAGCGGUGGAGCAUGUGGUUUAAUUCGAAGCUACGCGAAGAACCUUACCAGGUCUUGACAUACUAUGCAAAUCUAAGAGAUUAGACGUUCCCUUCGGGGACAUGGAUACAGGUGGUGCAUGGUUGUCGUCAGCUCGUGUCGUGAGAUGUUGGGUUAAGUCCCGCAACGAGCGCAACCCUUAUUAUCAGUUGCCAGCAUUAAGUUGGGCACUCUGGUGAGACUGCCGGUGACAAACCGGAGGAAGGUGGGGAUGACGUCAAAUCAUCAUGCCCCUUAUGACCUGGGCUACACACGUGCUACAAUGGAUGGUACAACGAGUUGCGAACUCGCGAGAGUAAGCUAAUCUCUUAAAGCCAUUCUCAGUUCGGAUUGUAGGCUGCAACUCGCCUACAUGAAGUCGGAAUCGCUAGUAAUCGCGGAUCAGCAUGCCGCGGUGAAUACGUUCCCGGGCCUUGUACACACCGCCCGUCACACCAUGAGAGUUUGUAACACCCAAAG
RNAcentral lists this ribosomal RNA (1358 nucleotides) under Lactiplantibacillus plantarum. RNAcentral's name for it is "bacterial SSU rRNA". It matches the Rfam family "Bacterial small subunit ribosomal RNA", at positions 80 to 1426 of the family's 1533-position model. The record is from RNAcentral. Lineage: Bacteria; Bacillati; Bacillota; Bacilli; Lactobacillales; Lactobacillaceae.